RNAcentral lists this transfer-messenger RNA (367 nucleotides) under Alkalicoccus urumqiensis. RNAcentral describes it as "Standard tmRNA". It matches the Rfam family "transfer-messenger RNA". From Rfam's summary of the family: Bacterial tmRNA, also known as 10Sa RNA or SsrA, is named for its dual tRNA and mRNA-like properties. Its role is to liberate the mRNA from a stalled ribosome. The record is from Rfam by way of RNAcentral. Lineage: Bacteria; Bacillati; Bacillota; Bacilli; Caryophanales; Bacillaceae.
GGGGACGUUCUGGAUUCGACAGGGAUAGGUCGGACUUACGUUGCGCGUCGAGCUGAGUGUCCUCGUAAAAACGCUCACCUGCCUAUAGUUGGCAAACAAGAAGAAGACUUCGCACUAGCAGCGGCGUAACAACCCUGCUUGCGGUUCCUCCCUCCAUCGCCCAUGUGGAGGAUCAGGGACUCAAAUGAAGUGGGAUACGUCAGGCUUUUUCCACCUGGAGAAGCCUGAAAGAGAUUAAUCAGGUUAGCCAUAUGGAAGCCUGUCCGCUGGCUGAAGUAUCGGCGAAAUUUAAAUAAACGGACUACACGCGUAGACGCGUAAGUUUCGUUAUCCCUGGACGCGGGUUCAAUUCCCGCCGUCUCCACCA